RNAcentral lists this ribosomal RNA (433 nucleotides) under uncultured bacterium. RNAcentral describes it as "partial 16S ribosomal RNA". It matches the Rfam family "Bacterial small subunit ribosomal RNA", at positions 29 to 507 of the family's 1533-position model. The record is from RNAcentral.
AACGAACGCUGGCGGCAGGCCUAACACAUGCAAGUCGAGCGCGCCCUUCGGGGUGAGCGGCGGACGGGUGAGUAACGCGUGGGAACGUGCCCUUCUCUGCGGAAUAGCCUCGGGAAACUGAGAGUAAUACCGCAUACGCCCUUUGGGGGAAAGAUUUAUCGGAGAAGGAUCGGCCCGCGUUGGAUUAGGUAGUUGGUGGGGUAAUGGCCCACCAAGCCGACGAUCCAUAGCUGGUUUGAGAGGAUGAUCAGCCACACUGGGACUGAGACACGGCCCAGCCUCCUACGGGAAGCAGCAGUGGGGAAUCUUAGACAAUGGGGGCAACCCUGAUCUAGCCAUGCCGCGUGAGUGAUGAAGGCCUUAGGGUUGUAAAGCUCUUUCAGCUGGGAAGAUAAUGACGGUACCAGCAGAAGAAGCCCCGGCUAACUCCGUG